This 253-nucleotide ribosomal RNA is filed under the name uncultured bacterium. Its description in RNAcentral is "partial 16S ribosomal RNA". It matches the Rfam family "Bacterial small subunit ribosomal RNA", at positions 524 to 776 of the family's 1533-position model. The record is from RNAcentral.
UACGAAGGGGGCGAGCGUUGUUCGGAUUUACUGGGCGUAAAGGGCGCGUAGGCGGCGCGAGAAGUCGAGUGUGAAAGCCCCGGGCUCAACCUGGGAAUUGCGCUCGAUACUCUUGUGCUUGAGUUCGGGAGAGGAGCGUGGAAUUCCCAGUGUAGAGGUGAAAUUCGUAGAUAUUGGGAAGAACACCCGUGGCGAAGGCGGUUCUCUGGGACGGUACUGACGCUGAGACGCGAAAGCGUGGGGAGCGAACAGG